RNAcentral lists this ribosomal RNA (468 nucleotides) under Stylocellus sp. Peninsula 18. RNAcentral describes it as "partial 16S ribosomal RNA". The record is from RNAcentral. Lineage: Eukaryota; Metazoa; Arthropoda; Arachnida; Opiliones; Stylocellidae.
UUCUUAAUGGUGAAAUAUUAAGUAUCUUCUGCUCAAUGGUUAUAAAUAGCUGCAAUAGGCACUAAGGUAGCAUAAUAAAUUGUCUUUUUAUUGAAGACUGGAAUGAAUGAAGGAAUGGGGAUUUACUUUCUUGAUAUUAAUGAUUUGAAUUUUAAUUUUUAGUAAAAAUGCUAAGAUUUUAUUUAGUGACAAUAAGACCCUACGAAGCUUUAUAAUUUAUAUAAUUGGAAAAAAUUAUUGUGUUGGGGCAACAUUCUAAGAUAUUGAGUUUAGAAAUGAAUAUUAUUAUAAUUUAUAUUAAUGAUCCACAAUUUGUGAAUAUUAGCAUAAGUUACUCUAGGGAUAACAGCAUAAUUAAAUUAGAAAGUACGUAUUGAUAAUUUAGAUUAUGACCUCGAUGUUGAAUUAAUAUUACUAUAAGGUGAAGGAGCUUUAUUAAUUAGUCUGUUCGACUAUAAAAAUAUUACA